This 577-nucleotide long non-coding RNA is filed under the name Monodelphis domestica (gray short-tailed opossum). RNAcentral describes it as "lncRNA (ENSMODG00000050097.1)". The record is from RNAcentral. Lineage: Eukaryota; Metazoa; Chordata; Mammalia; Didelphimorphia; Didelphidae.
GGAGGAGAGGUAGAACCUACAAACACUCUCCCUGGGCAGUGCUGAGCAAAUUAAAAGACUACAAUCGGUCUUCAUAAAGUGGAGGAAGGGACAGGAAGUGUUGUAAAAAUGCACUGAAAAAGAUGAUGAACUUCAUGUGCAAGAGAUCUUCAUCCUGAAUUUUUGGAUUGAAGGAGCUUGGACUGCUUCUGGUACUUCACAUGGACAUAAUUGAAUAGGAGAGAAAAUUGGGCUGGAUUGCAUUUUGGAAACCAUAUGGUACUUUCUUGGAACCCAAGCUGCAUGCUGCCACAUCUAUAUAUUCUCCAGAAAUGGAAGGUUCAUAGGAUCAUAGAUAUAAAGCUGGAAGGGACCUUAGACCAUCAAGUCCAACUCUCAUUUUACAGGGCAUCUGGCAUGUGUAAAGCCAUAUUAUAAACUACAGAAGAAACAUUGACCUUUGGAAUUUGGUGAUAAAACUCAACUCAUUUGAGCUGCCAAAGGCAUUUAUAAAAGAAGAAAAAUAUACAAAUGCCUACACAAGAUUAAGUGUCCUUCCUUCACCAUGAGUCAUUAAAGCAUAGAAUAGGUCCUUUUG